GACGAACGCUGGCGGCGUGCCUAAUACAUGCAAGUCGAACGCUUCUUUCCUCCCGAGUGCUUGCACUCAAUUGGAAAGAGGAGUGGCGGACGGGUGAGUAACACGUGGGUAACCUACCCAUCAGAGGGGGAUAACACUUGGAAACAGGUGCUAAUACCGCAUAACAGUUUAUGCCGCAUGGCAUAAGAGUGAAAGGCGCUUUCGGGUGUCGCUGAUGGAUGGACCCGCGGUGCAUUAGCUAGUUGGUGAGGUAACGGCUCACCAAGGCCACGAUGCAUAGCCGACCUGAGAGGGUGAUCGGCCACACUGGGACUGAGACACGGCCCAGACUCCUACGGGAGGCAGCAGUAGGGAAUCUUCGGCAAUGGACGAAAGUCUGACCGAGCAACGCCGCGUGAGUGAAGAAGGUUUUCGGAUCGUAAAACUCUGUUGUUAGAGAAGAACAAGGACGUUAGUAACUGAACGUCCCCUGACGGUAUCUAACCAGAAAACCACGGCUAACUACGU
Molecule: ribosomal RNA, 507 nt
Filed under: uncultured bacterium
Lineage: Bacteria
Description: partial 16S ribosomal RNA
Rfam family: Bacterial small subunit ribosomal RNA
Source: RNAcentral